RNAcentral lists this ribosomal RNA (2907 nucleotides) under Escherichia coli. Its description in RNAcentral is "23S ribosomal RNA". It matches the Rfam family "Bacterial large subunit ribosomal RNA". The record is from RNAcentral. Lineage: Bacteria; Pseudomonadati; Pseudomonadota; Gammaproteobacteria; Enterobacterales; Enterobacteriaceae.
GGUUAAGCGACUAAGCGUACACGGUGGAUGCCCUGGCAGUCAGAGGCGAUGAAGGACGUGCUAAUCUGCGAUAAGCGUCGGUAAGGUGAUAUGAACCGUUAUAACCGGCGAUUUCCGAAUGGGGAAACCCAGUGUGUUUCGACACACUAUCAUUAACUGAAUCCAUAGGUUAAUGAGGCGAACCGGGGGAACUGAAACAUCUAAGUACCCCGAGGAAAAGAAAUCAACCGAGAUUCCCCCAGUAGCGGCGAGCGAACGGGGAGCAGCCCAGAGCCUGAAUCAGUGUGUGUGUUAGUGGAAGCGUCUGGAAAGGCGCGCGAUACAGGGUGACAGCCCCGUACACAAAAAUGCACAUGCUGUGAGCUCGAUGAGUAGGGCGGGACACGUGGUAUCCUGUCUGAAUAUGGGGGGACCAUCCUCCAAGGCUAAAUACUCCUGACUGACCGAUAGUGAACCAGUACCGUGAGGGAAAGGCGAAAAGAACCCCGGCGAGGGGAGUGAAAAAGAACCUGAAACCGUGUACGUACAAGCAGUGGGAGCACGCUUAGGCGUGUGACUGCGUACCUUUUGUAUAAUGGGUCAGCGACUUAUAUUCUGUAGCAAGGUUAACCGAAUAGGGGAGCCGAAGGGAAACCGAGUCUUAACUGGGCGUUAAGUUGCAGGGUAUAGACCCGAAACCCGGUGAUCUAGCCAUGGGCAGGUUGAAGGUUGGGUAACACUAACUGGAGGACCGAACCGACUAAUGUUGAAAAAUUAGCGGAUGACUUGUGGCUGGGGGUGAAAGGCCAAUCAAACCGGGAGAUAGCUGGUUCUCCCCGAAAGCUAUUUAGGUAGCGCCUCGUGAAUUCAUCUCCGGGGGUAGAGCACUGUUUCGGCAAGGGGGUCAUCCCGACUUACCAACCCGAUGCAAACUGCGAAUACCGGAGAAUGUUAUCACGGGAGACACACGGCGGGUGCUAACGUCCGUCGUGAAGAGGGAAACAACCCAGACCGCCAGCUAAGGUCCCAAAGUCAUGGUUAAGUGGGAAACGAUGUGGGAAGGCCCAGACAGCCAGGAUGUUGGCUUAGAAGCAGCCAUCAUUUAAAGAAAGCGUAAUAGCUCACUGGUCGAGUCGGCCUGCGCGGAAGAUGUAACGGGGCUAAACCAUGCACCGAAGCUGCGGCAGCGACGCUGAUGCGUUGUUGGGUAGGGGAGCGUUCUGUAAGCCUGCGAAGGUGUGCUGUGAGGCAUGCUGGAGGUAUCAGAAGUGCGAAUGCUGACAUAAGUAACGAUAAAGCGGGUGAAAAGCCCGCUCGCCGGAAGACCAAGGGUUCCUGUCCAACGUUAAUCGGGGCAGGGUGAGUCGACCCCUAAGGCGAGGCCGAAAGGCGUAGUCGAUGGGAAACAGGUUAAUAUUCCUGUACUUGGUGUUACUGCGAAGGGGGGACGGAGAAGGCUAUGUUGGCCGGGCGACGGUUGUCCCGGUUUAAGCGUGUAGGCUGGUUUUCCAGGCAAAUCCGGAAAAUCAAGGCUGAGGCGUGAUGACGAGGCACUACGGUGCUGAAGCAACAAAUGCCCUGCUUCCAGGAAAAGCCUCUAAGCAUCAGGUAACAUCAAAUCGUACCCCAAACCGACACAGGUGGUCAGGUAGAGAAUACCAAGGCGCUUGAGAGAACUCGGGUGAAGGAACUAGGCAAAAUGGUGCCGUAACUUCGGGAGAAGGCACGCUGAUAUGUAGGUGAAGUCCCUCGCGGAUGGAGCUGAAAUCAGUCGAAGAUACCAGCUGGCUGCAACUGUUUAUUAAAAACACAGCACUGUGCAAACACGAAAGUGGACGUAUACGGUGUGACGCCUGCCCGGUGCUCGGAAGGUUAAUUGAUGGGGUUAGCCGCAAGGCGAAGCUCUUGAUCGAAGCCCCGGUAAACGGCGGCCGUAACUAUAACGGUCCUAAGGUAGCGAAAUUCCUUGUCGGGUAAGUUCCGACCUGCACGAAUGGCGUAAUGAUGGCCAGGCUGUCUCCACCCGAGACUCAGUGAAAUUGAACUCGCUGUGAAGAUGCAGUGUACCCGCGGCAAGACGGAAAGACCCCGUGAACCUUUACUAUAGCUUGACACUGAACAUUGAGCCUUGAUGUGUAGGAUAGGUGGGAGGCUUAGAAGUGUGGACGCCAGUCUGCAUGGAGCCGACCUUGAAAUACCACCCUUUAAUGUUUGAUGUUCUAACGUGGACCCGUAAUCCGGGUUGCGGACAGUGUCUGGUGGGUAGUUUGACUGGGGCGGUCUCCUCCUAAAGAGUAACGGAGGAGCACGAAGGUUGGCUAAUCCUGGUCGGACAUCAGGAGGUUAGUGCAAUGGCAUAAGCCAGCUUGACUGCGAGCGUGACGGCGCGAGCAGGUGCGAAAGCAGGUCAUAGUGAUCCGGUGGUUCUGAAUGGAAGGGCCAUCGCUCAACGGAUAAAAGGUACUCCGGGGAUAACAGGCUGAUACCGCCCAAGAGUUCAUAUCGACGGCGGUGUUUGGCACCUCGAUGUCGGCUCAUCACAUCCUGGGGCUGAAGUAGGUCCCAAGGGUAUGGCUGUUCGCCAUUUAAAGUGGUACGCGAGCUGGGUUUAGAACGUCGUGAGACAGUUCGGUCCCUAUCUGCCGUGGGCGCUGGAGAACUGAGGGGGGCUGCUCCUAGUACGAGAGGACCGGAGUGGACGCAUCACUGGUGUUCGGGUUGUCAUGCCAAUGGCACUGCCCGGUAGCUAAAUGCGGAAGAGAUAAGUGCUGAAAGCAUCUAAGCACGAAACUUGCCCCGAGAUGAGUUCUCCCUGACUCCUUGAGAGUCCUGAAGGAACGUUGAAGACGACGACGUUGAUAGGCCGGGUGUGUAAGCGCAGCGAUGCGUUGAGCUAACCGGUACUAAUGAACCGUGAGGCUUAACCUU